GAUCAUGGCUCAGGACGAACGCUGACGGCGUGCUUAACACAUGCAAGUCGAACGGGGCGCUUAUGAUGGAGAUUUCGGUCAACGGAUUAAGUUGCCUAGUGGCGGACGGGUGAGUAACGCGUGAGUAACCUGCCUUUCAGAGGGGGACAACAGUUGGAAACGACUGCUAAUACCGCAUAAUAUAUAUGGACCGCAUGAUCUGUGUAUCAAAGAUUUAUCGCUGAAAGAUGG
Molecule: ribosomal RNA, 231 nt
Filed under: uncultured bacterium
Lineage: Bacteria
Description: partial 16S ribosomal RNA
Rfam family: Bacterial small subunit ribosomal RNA
Source: RNAcentral